GUGCCAGCAGCCGCGGUAAUACGUAGGGGGCAAGCGUUGUCCGGAAUUAUUGGGCGUAAAGCGCGCGCAGGCGGCCGUUUAAGUCUGGUGUUUAAGCCCGGGGCUCAACCCCGGUACGCACGGGAAACUGGGCGGCUGGAGUGCAGGAGAGGGGAGUGGAAUUCCACGUGUAGCGGUGAAAUGCGUAGAGAUGUGGAGGAACACCAGUGGCGAAGGCGACUCUCUGGCCUGUAACUGACGCUGAGGCGCGAAAGCGUGGGGAGCAAACAGGAUUAGAUACCCUGGUAGUCC
This 291-nucleotide ribosomal RNA is filed under the name uncultured bacterium. Its description in RNAcentral is "partial 16S ribosomal RNA". It matches the Rfam family "Bacterial small subunit ribosomal RNA", at positions 505 to 796 of the family's 1533-position model. The record is from RNAcentral.